UACGAAGGGGGCUAGCGUUGUUCGGAAUUACUGGGCGUAAAGCGCACGUAGGCGGACAUUUAAGUCAGGGGUGAAAUCCCAGAGCUCAACUCUGGAACUGCCUUUGAUACUGGGUGUCUUGAGUAUGGAAGAGGUGAGUGGAAUUCCGAGUGUAGAGGUGAAAUUCGUAGAUAUUCAGAGGAACACCAGUGGCGAAGGCGGCUCACUGGUCCAUUACUGACGCUGAGGUGCGAAAGCGUGGGGAGCAAACAGG
RNAcentral lists this ribosomal RNA (253 nucleotides) under uncultured bacterium. RNAcentral describes it as "partial 16S ribosomal RNA". It matches the Rfam family "Bacterial small subunit ribosomal RNA", at positions 524 to 776 of the family's 1533-position model. The record is from RNAcentral.